Leopardus geoffroyi (Geoffroy's cat) is the source of this 1829-nucleotide long non-coding RNA. RefSeq lists it as uncharacterized. The transcript is spliced from 4 exons. Lineage: Eukaryota; Metazoa; Chordata; Mammalia; Carnivora; Felidae. The record is from RefSeq and is a predicted model, not a curated record.
UUCUUCAUCUUGCUCAACUCUCUGUGUUGGUUUCUAUACAGUAGACGAAGAACCACCUCUCCCAGUCUUGAAGGAGUGGCUUCAUGUAGGAGCUGGGCCCUGUUGUUCAGCCCUGCCCGGGCUCUCGAUUGUGUCUGCAACCUCUGUGCUUGUCCAAGUAGCCUAUUAUAUUUUUAAUAGCUCCCAGCAGUUGAGGAUGUGCCAAGACCUGUCAGUGCCCCAAAGGGGAGGGCCUUAGCAUCUAGAUUCAGGAUGACUGGAACCAGACUCUUAGGCAUUAGCUCUUUAAAGUAUGCAAAUAAAUACAGUUCUGUGGGACUGUAAGCAUAAGCCCCUCUGCCCACCAAAGCCAGGUGCUCUGGAGGUUUUCUCUGGGUAGCGGUCACAAAAAUAGGGGCUAGAGAUGAGUGUAUAAACCCUUUUCUGGGUCAUACCACUAAGCCGAAGCAAGACAGAGGGAAACACCAAGAUGGUAUUCAUAGGCUAUAUUCCUUGAGAGCUGCUCAGCACUAAAUGUGACCAGCCUGGAGCCUUGCCCUCAGGCUGACACUCCUGGAUAAGCAAGCAGCCUCCGCUUCACAGAAAGACUUGGGGGUGUGCAUUGUCUACGUAGUGCCCUUGGGGUGGCAACCUGCCGAGCAACAUCUCCCCAGCCGCCACAGUCAUGUGGGAUGCAGGAACCCAACACCUCCCCCACGGCCAGGCAAUCAAAGGAUGUCCCUUGGACAGCAGCUACAGAAACAGGAAGGCACCAGGCAAAAACCAGGGCGCCAGACGUGUUCCCUUUCAGGAGACAUUGGUGCUCUGAAGUGCAGCAGACGGUGAGGGUGAAGACAGUGCCCACCCUCUGAGGCGUCUAGACAGGAUGUGCGUUUCAUUAGAAGCCUCAGGCACAGCCAUGAUGAUCAGCUAUUAGGCCUCUUCACAGAAAGACCAAGCUCCUGGGUAUGAACUCUUUCUGCUUUGUUUACAGCCCCGUGGGACACAUGAGCGUUAGCCGCACUGGCUACACCAGGUGUCCUCUGGUAGCAGUCACAAAAAUCGGGGUGCCAGACAGAGGUCUGAGCUCCUUCCUGGGUGACACGGAUUAUUACACUCCCACGGGACCAGGAACACAAAUUCCCCUGGCCUCCAGAACCAGGCGAUCAAAAGGCGUCCUCUAGAGGGCAGCGGCUGCAAAAACCCAGGCACCAGGUCAGUGCAAAGGCUCCCUUUCGGAAGAUGCUCCUGCUCUGGAGCAUGCGCGGAGGAGAGCGCCAAGAUGGGGCCAGCAGCUUCCGCUCGGUGCUGCCCCGCAAGGGUGCUGGGUGUGUGUGGCAGGUCCUCGUGCCUGCCCCUCCGCCGCCCACGCUUCACUGUAAGCAGAAUUCCACAAAGUAAAAUAUGGUAGUUAGGUAAACAUCAAUGAAAUUUGAAUGAGGUGGACCCAACUGAUGUUUGCACCACCAUCGAGGAACCUGUGUUGUACCUUCCAGAGAAACUGAUCACAUCAUAUUAAUAUAUCCUUUAAAGAAUGACAUGCAAAAAAUAAAAGACUUUUCUCAUCAGCCUGGUGCCAUGUGGGAGAGAUUCUUGCAGCAAAGAACUGAGCACAAUAUCCAUUCAACAACAAGCAAGGAAGCGAGGUCCUCCCUCCAGUGGCCCUCCAGGAUCUGAAUCCUGCCAAUGACCACAUAAGUGAACUUGGAAGUGGAUUCUUCCACAGUUGAGACUUCAGUUUGCAGAUCUGCGCCAAUUCUCAGACCUAGAAGCCAUUGACCCAUCAAAACAGAGGCCAGUCCUCUAGGAUAAAGGACAGCAGCAGGUGUGUAUAGUAGAAAUGUCUUUAG